RNAcentral lists this ribosomal RNA (279 nucleotides) under uncultured bacterium. RNAcentral describes it as "partial 16S ribosomal RNA". It matches the Rfam family "Bacterial small subunit ribosomal RNA", at positions 506 to 784 of the family's 1533-position model. The record is from RNAcentral.
UGCCAGCCGCCGCGGUAAUACGUAGGGACCAAGCGUUGUUCGGAUUUAUUGGGUUUAAAGGGUGCGCAGGCGGGACGAUAAGACAGUGGUGAAAUCCUACAGCUUAACUGUAGAACUGCCAUUGAUACUGUUGUUCUUGAGUACAGUUGAGGUUGGCGGAAUGUGUCAUGUAGCGGUGAAAUGCUUAGAUAUGACACAGAACACCGAUUGCGAAGGCAGCUUACUAAGCUACGAUUGACGCUGAGGCACGAAAGCGUGGGGAGCGAACAGGAUUAGAUA